CGGACAGAGGAGGUGAAGAGGAACAGGGUCGGAGGCAAAUGCCCAGAGACCCGGGGGCCAGACGUGUAGCUCGGCGCAAUCGGCCAGUGAGUGCUCCAGGCAGAGCUGGAGGAAGCGGGCCUGGGUCUGGCUCACGCGCUUGAGCAACGACAGCAGCGCAACAGUCUGCUCGCACUCGUUCCAGCCCUUAAACCAGCCCGCCAGCACCCCGACCUGGUCGCGAAACAUCAUGGUUAGGGGGCCGCCCUCCGUCAACGAAGCCUCUCGGCGCCCCUGCCCACCCCAAAGUUUGGCGGAGCCGCAGCCCCGCGGCCUCCCGAGACGCGUUCCGGUUCCAAGGUCUCCGGUGCCCGGGCGCUGCAGCUUAAGAAUGGUGAUUUCCGGCGUCCCGGGGUCUUCUCCCCGCUGGGCGGCAGCUCGGACCCUUCACACCCGCAUUCCCAAACGGCAAUCACUACUGAAAAGACAGAAAGAGCUGCAGUGAGACCUCGGCCCUCGGAGGAGAGCGUCUAGGGGGAUCUGGGCACCAGGGGGAGCCCGGUAGAGGGGGUGUGUGGAAGCUAAGGUUGGGGGUGUCCCGUGGAGGCAAGUCCCCCAAAUUCCAGCUGGCCCCUCCACACUCGGAUGCCCAAGCUAAGCUAUUGCACAGCUUCCUUCCCAGGUGCGGGAGGAGACCCCGCGGCUUCCUGUUGCUGCGGCUAUGACCCGCUAGUGCUCCCUGCACGCCCCACCCGGGGUGGCCUCCAGGGCUGUGUCUGCGAACGCCAGCACCAGCAACAGAUCCUCCCCGCGCUGAAAACUUGCAAUGCGGCUGCGAAGGGGCGCGGGGGUGGGGUGGGGGCUAAUGCAAAGCAGAGGCGGUGACAGAGGCAGCCAGGGUUCCAGCCUCCUCCUCUCCUCCUCUUCUUCCUCCUCCUCCUCCUCUUCCUCCUCCCUCUCUCCUCCCUCCUCCAAUUCCUCCCCUCCCUCCCUCCUCCUCCUCCCGGAGAAGCAGCCGUACGGCUGCAGCUCCAUCUACAGCAACAGCCAGCAUCUCCACCGCCAGGCUCCCCUCUGAAUUUAGGCCGUGAGCAGCCGCUGCGACAGCUGAGACAAAAAUAAA
Microtus oregoni (creeping vole) is the source of this 1102-nucleotide long non-coding RNA. RefSeq lists it as uncharacterized. Lineage: Eukaryota; Metazoa; Chordata; Mammalia; Rodentia; Cricetidae. The record is from RefSeq and is a predicted model, not a curated record. The transcript is spliced from 3 exons.